UUCGGGGUGUAGGGGAGGUUUUAAGGGAUCAGAGAACAAGGGAAAGGAUUUAGAAAUGUUGACUUGGUAGGGUCUGAUUAGAGGGCUCCAAAUAUAACUAUCUAUGGUAAGGUGUGUUGAGAUACAUUUUAACCUGGGAUCAUCUGGGCCAGUGGACCCUUCACUAUUGAAAGAGGUCUGGCUUUCAGGUUUCAGUCAUGUCUUGGUCUUGUUUCUAAGGGGAGGAGUCUUUGGUUCUAGGUAUUGUUAAAAGUCAAAGAUUUUACUAUUGCGCAUGUCUGGUCUAUACGAUUUGCAGUUAUGUAGCUGUUGGCAGUGUGGGAGAAGAGUGUUGUUUCUCUGGCCAGGAAAUAAAUGAAAUGUGCUGGUAUCAGAGACUAAAUUCAUUGUAGCAUCCUGCUUCUGGUGCAGCCAUGAGCAGCAGGCUUCUCUGCUGUGUGAUCAUUUGUCUCCUAAGAGCAGACUUCAAGGACGCUAUAGUUACACAAUUCCCAAGACACAGAAUUAUUGGGACAGGAAAGGAAUUCAUUCUACAGUGUUCCCAGAAUAUGAAUCAUGUUGCGAUGUUCUGGUAUCGACAAGACCCAGGAUUUGGACUGAAGCUGGUCUAUUAUUCACCUGGCCCUGGCAGCAUUGAAAAAGGAGAUGUCUCUGAGGGGUAUCAUGUUUCUCGAAAUAAUAUAACAUACUUUCCCCUGACCCUGAAGUCUGCCAGCACCAACCAGACAUCUGUAUAUCUCUGCACCAGCAGUUCAGCCACAGUACUGCAUAGCCACAUCCUCUCUGCACAAAAAAGGUGCAGGCCAAAGAGGAAAAGCCUGCCCACAAAAUUCCUCACCCCAAAUAAGAGAAGUUUCUUCACAAGUAUUGGACAAAAAACGCCAAACUCUGUAAAAUAUUUGAAGAGAUUUAUUCUGAGCCAAACAUGAGUGAGCAUGGCCAGAGGCAGAAGCUCAAGAGGGCCUAAGAACAUGUGCCCAAAGUGGUCAGGCUACAGCUUCGUUUUACACCUUUUUAGAGACAUCAGACAUCAAUCAAUACAUGUAAGCUGUACAUUGGUUCAGUUUGGAAAGGUGGGACAACUCAAAGAGGGGGCUUCCAGUCAUAGGUGGAGUCAAGGACUUUUCAGAUUGGCAGUUGGUUGAAAGAGUUAUUAUCUAAAGACGUGGAAUCAAUAUAAAGGAGUGUCUGAGUUGUGGGGACCAACGUUCUUAUUAUGCAGAUGAAGCCUCCAGGGACCAGGCUUCAGUGAGAAUAGACUGUGUUUCUUAUCAGGCUUUAAAAGGUACUAGACUCAUAAGUUAAUUCUCUUCUGGAUCAGGGAAAAGACCUGGAAAGGAAAGAGAAUUAUCUAUAGAAUGUAUAUUUUCCCCAUAAUAGACAGCUUUGCAGGGCCAUUUAAAAAUAUGUCAAAAAAAUAUACUUUGGGGUAAAAUAUUUUGUUUUUUUUUCAGAGCCUGCUAUCAGUCAUAUUGAUAUUUUAUUGCUACAAUGUGUCUGUUUUACCACUCUUAAGGUCUCCAUUUUAAUAUUAUUGGCUGUCACAGAGAGACAAUGAGAUUUGCCCUUAGUUCCUUACAGUCUCUUUCUGAUUCCCUUGAUCUGAAUUCAAAUACACAUCAAAUCUGUCUCAUGUUUGAAAUCCUUCUGAUCUCCACUUCUGCUUCAAGACAGAGAAAAACUCUGCUUUUAAAGGGCUUUGGUGAUUAAGUUAGGCUAACCUGAAUAAUAUUUAUUUUAUCAAAGAAUGUAACAUAAGUGCUUGAAUGACAUCUUAUUAUAUUUUUAGGCUCCAUUCAUGCUCAAGUGAAGGAGAUUAUACAUGGGCAUGAGUCAUUAGAGGUCAUUCUUGGAAUUCUGCCUAUCACACCAAUGGAGAUCAAAUGCCAAGAAAGUCAGGAAUAGAAAUUUGGAAAGCAUACAAUCAAAUAUACUAAAUUAGAAUUCAAAACUACUCAAGAUGGUUCAGAGUUUUGGCCAUGCAGUGGAUCAAAUUUUCUUACUACUGCUUAACCAAGGACACAGUACAAAAGUAGAAUGAACUGGUCUUUAUCAAAACAGAACAAAGACCAUAUUUAAAAAGGAAAGGCAAGAAGGUGGAAUAGAUCUGGCUUUUACUUGAAGGACACUGGAGAUUCAAGUUAAGAAACGGAAUUGUCUUAGUCCCCAAAUUAACAAAAGAGAAGAAAGAUGAGACCAGAACCUUUGUCAAUGAAAGAGCAGUGAAGUGGAAAGGCAGAAUGGAGGGUGGAGAGCACGUUUCUGAAGAGAAUAAACUUAGUUGUCAGAUGAAAAGAGAUAAAUAGUUAGCUUUGUCCUUACAAAUUUUGAGGUAACUUAUGGAAAUACUUUUUCUUAUCAGUUGAUUAAUUUGGGGGGAGGUAGCACAAUCCUUCGAAAUUCCAGUGAGUAGAAAAUUAGGCUCAACCUCAAGAUGAAGCCUCGAAAAAGCAAUGUCUGUUCGAAUCCAGUUAACAGGAGAACAUCUACUGUGAUUUUAUUAUCAGCAAGCUGGUGAAAACUUCCUGAAGAAGAAAUAUGGGAUGAUCCAGAAACCGAUUAAAGUCUCAGAACAACAAAUAGUUUCUCUUCUCGUGAAUUAAUUCACCCUUUCACAAUUAAACAGAGAUAACUCAGGGUACCUUAAAUACUGAUGAGCUUCACAGAAAUGAAUUGCCACCCAAUUCCAUUGAUGGAGAAAGAUAAGAAAAUGAGGAAGGAAAAGGUACUUUCAGAGAGAAGAAUUGUUGAGAAGGUAGCAGUCCUUUCUCCUUUCUCUUUCCAUGAGAUAGUUGCUAUUCAUAGCUCUAUGAUGGGGACUGGGAACACAAGAAUCACCACUCAUGGAUUAAUGAAUUCAAGAUCUGUACCUUCCAUUUUGAUUCCAUAUUUGAACUUAAAUUUAUUCAGGACACCAACUGAACACUUAAAGUUAAAACUCAUAUCAUAUUUCCCUCCCAAGCUGUAUUUCCUCUGAGUUCCUGACUUGAUGGAUUAUUUAUCUGUACAAUAUAUGAACACAGAGAGUUAGGCCUUAUUUGCCUUGGACACCCAAUUUGUAUGUAAGCUCUUUCAUUUCUAACUCCUAAAUAUUUUAGUUCUUUAUUUAUUAUCUCAAUCACUGCAACCACUGCCAUGUUUAUGCCCUUUUUACUAGCUUACCAAAUAAAUACGAAAGGUCUCA
Molecule: non-coding RNA, 3184 nt
Organism: Cebus imitator (Panamanian white-faced capuchin)
Lineage: Eukaryota; Metazoa; Chordata; Mammalia; Primates; Cebidae
Source: the annotation of a RefSeq genome assembly